Molecule: ribosomal RNA, 467 nt
Filed under: uncultured bacterium
Lineage: Bacteria
Description: partial 16S ribosomal RNA
Rfam family: Bacterial small subunit ribosomal RNA
Source: RNAcentral
GACGAACGCUGGCGGCGUGCUUAACACAUGCAAGUCGAACGGAAAGGCCCUGCUUUUGUGGGGUGCUCGAGUGGCGAACGGGUGAGUAACACGUGAGUAACCUGCCCUUGACUUCGGGAUAACUUCAGGAAACUGGGGCUAAUACCGGAUAGGAGCUCCUGCUGCAUGGUGGGGGUUGGAAAGUUUCGGCGGUUGGGGAUGGACUCGCGGCUUAUCAGCUUGUUGGUGGGUAGUGGCUUACCAAGGCUUUGACGGGUAGCCGGCCUGAGAGGGUGACCGGCCACAUUGGGACUGAGAUACGGCCCAGACUCCUACGGGAGGCAGCAGUGGGGAAUAUUGCACAAUGGGCGGAAGCCUGAUGCAGCAACGCCGCGUGCGGGAUGACGGCCUUCGGGUUGUAAACCGCUUUCGCCUGUGACGAAGCGUGAGUGACGGUAAUGGGUAAAGAAGCACCGGCUAACUACGUG